AUUGAACGCUGGCGGCAUGCCUUACACAUGCAAGUCGAACGGUAACGGGCCUUCGGGUGCCGACGAGUGGCGAACGGGUGAGUAAUACAUCGGAACGUGCCCGAUCGUGGGGGAUAACGAGGCGAAAGCUUUGCUAAUACCGCAUACGAUCUACGGAUGAAAGCAGGGGACCGCAAGGCCUUGCGCGGACGGAGCGGCCGAUGGCAGAUUAGGUAGUUGGUGGGAUAAAAGCUUACCAAGCCGACGAUCUGUGGCUGGUCUGAGAGGAUGAUCAGCCACACUGGGACUGAGACACGGCCCAGACCCCUACGGGAGGCAGCAGUGGGGAAUUUUGGACAAUGGGCGCAAGCCUGAUCCAGCCAUGCCGCGUGCAGGAUGAAGGCCUUCGGGUUGUAAACUGCUUUUGUACGGAACGAAAAGCCUUCUUUUAAUACAGGAGGGUCAUGACGGUACCGUAAGAAUAAGCACCGGCUAACUACGUG
This 482-nucleotide ribosomal RNA is filed under the name uncultured bacterium. RNAcentral's name for it is "partial 16S ribosomal RNA". It matches the Rfam family "Bacterial small subunit ribosomal RNA", at positions 30 to 507 of the family's 1533-position model. The record is from RNAcentral.